This 1101-nucleotide ribosomal RNA is filed under the name Lactiplantibacillus plantarum. Its description in RNAcentral is "bacterial SSU rRNA". It matches the Rfam family "Bacterial small subunit ribosomal RNA", at positions 32 to 1102 of the family's 1533-position model. The record is from RNAcentral. Lineage: Bacteria; Bacillati; Bacillota; Bacilli; Lactobacillales; Lactobacillaceae.
AGCGAGGUGGGGGGUGCUAUACAUGCAGUCGAACGAACUCUGGUAUUGAUUGGUGCUUGCAUCAUGAUUUACAUUUGAGUGAGUGGCGAACUGGUGAGUAACACGUGGGAAACCUGCCCAGAAGCGGGGGAUAACACCUGGAAACAGAUGCUAAUACCGCAUAACAACUUGGACCGCAUGGUCCGAGUUUGAAAGAUGGCUUCGGCUAUCACUUUUGGAUGGUCCCGCGGCGUAUUAGCUAGAUGGUGGGGUAAUGGCUCACCAUGGCAAUGAUACGUAGCCGACCUGAGAGGGUAAUCGGCCACAUUGGGACUGAGACACGGCCCAAACUCCUACGGGAGGCAGCAGUAGGGAAUCUUCCACAAUGGACGAAAGUCUGAUGGAGCAACGCCGCGUGAGUGAAGAAGGGUUUCGGCUCGUAAAACUCUGUUGUUAAAGAAGAACAUAUCUGAGAGUAACUGUUCAGGUAUUGACGGUAUUUAACCAGAAAGCCACGGCUAACUACGUGCCAGCAGCCGCGGUAAUACGUAGGUGGCAAGCGUUGUCCGGAUUUAUUGGGCGUAAAGCGAGCGCAGGCGGUUUUUUAAGUCUGAUGUGAAAGCCUUCGGCUCAACCGAAGAAGUGCAUCGGAAACUGGGAAACUUGAGUGCAGAAGAGGACAGUGGAACUCCAUGUGUAGCGGUGAAAUGCGUAGAUAUAUGGAAGAACACCAGUGGCGAAGGCGGCUGUCUGGUCUGUAACUGACGCUGAGGCUCGAAAGUAUGGGUAGCAAACAGGAUUAGAUACCCUGGUAGUCCAUACCGUAAACGAUGAAUGCUAAGUGUUGGAGGGUUUCCGCCCUUCAGUGCUGCAGCUAACGCAUUAAGCAUUCCGCCUGGGGAGUACGGCCGCAAGGCUGAAACUCAAAGGAAUUGACGGGGGCCCGCACAAGCGGUGGAGCAUGUGGGUUUAAUUCGAAGCUACGCGAAGAACCUUACCAGGUCUUGACAUACUAUGCAAAUCUAAGAGAUUAGACGUUCCCUUCGGGGACAUGAUACAGUGAUGCAUGCGUCGUCAGCUCGUGUCGUGAGAUGUUGGGUUAAGUCCCGCAACGAGCCGCAC